RNAcentral lists this long non-coding RNA (644 nucleotides) under Rattus norvegicus (Norway rat). RNAcentral's name for it is "long non-coding RNA NONRATT031984". The record is from RNAcentral. Lineage: Eukaryota; Metazoa; Chordata; Mammalia; Rodentia; Muridae.
UGAGAGAGAGAGAGGCGCAGCCUCUGCCAUCCCCGUCCCACAAUACCUGUAAGGCUCCAUUCCUGAACGCAGAGCCGGGAAACAUGUUUUUAGGAAUUCAGAGUAUCAUGUUUCAUAAUUUGAUUUAAAUCAAUUAUCCCAUCCUUCCCUGGAACAGGCACGAGCUCCAAAAAUACAGGCUGUAAAUGGAAACAGCUGCAGCCUUUGGCCAGGAUGGAUUUCAGUCGGCGCAAUCAGCCUCCUCUCGAAGUACAUUAUCGCUGAGGCCCAGAGACGGUGGGAAGCACUUCCAGUGCCCUGGAAGGGACCACAAAGGCCUCGGCCUUGCUGAGCUCCGCAGCCCUGUGUGUGAAGAGAAAUUGUGAGAGGUUUGCGUGUGUUUACCGAGGAGGGCAUGAGCGCACGCAGCAAUCACGCAUGUCAUUUGGGCCCCAACACGCUGCCCAACAAAUGGAUCCCAUGCGCAGGAUUUGGCAUCCUUCCACUGAAAUCCUUCGCUUUAAUUGAUUUAAAAUGAUAAUUCAAUUAAAAUAAUUAUUCUAAUCAGACUUUGUAUCUUUUUUGGCAGGUUCCGUGGGGGCCUCUGCCCCCAAUGUUAUUUUAGUAUUUUCUCUAUUUGUUUUCUCACCCAGCUGACUUCGGCU